GGGUCGAUGAAGAACGCAGCCAGCUGCGUGAAGUAAUGUGAAUUGCAGGACACAUUGAACAUCGAUAUCUUGAACGCAUAUUGCGGCCUCGGGCAUUCCCGAGGCCACGCCUGUCUCAGGGUCGGUUGAACCUAUCUAUCGUCGGUUGUCCGUAUUUGCCGACGCCUUGGACCGUCGCGGCGCGUCGACCGUAAAGCGCAAUCGGCUGACCGUAAUUGCCGAGAGCGCAACGCGCCACGUCGUCCGAAGUACAGACGGGUCUGCCGCGAUGCAUUGCCGACCGGACGUCCUCAAUCCGCCCGAUGGGGAUGGCGACUCGGACCGUAAAGAGAAGCCGUUGUCUGUUGUGGCGGUUCGGAAGGCUUUGUGUCACGUACGGCGGAUCCACGAACGAAGAACGCGGUGUGCGUGCGGAUGGACGGAAGGACGGCUGGACCGGCGGGAAACUGCUGGACCGGCUGACCGACCGUAGGAAGGACGGCUGGACCGGCGGGAAACUGCCGGACCGGCUGACCGACCUUUGGGACUUUGGCUGGACCGGCGGGAAACCGCUGGACCGGCCGAUCGACCGACCGACUGCGCGCGCGCUUCGUAAACUCUUUAUUCGACCUGAGAUCAGACGAGAUUACCCGCUGAAUUUAAGCAUAU
This 648-nucleotide unclassified non-coding RNA is filed under the name Tubifex tubifex (sludge worm). RNAcentral describes it as "sequence contains ITS2". The stretch from base 4 to 124 matches the Rfam family "5.8S ribosomal RNA", at positions 33 to 154 of the family's 154-position model. Lineage: Eukaryota; Metazoa; Annelida; Clitellata; Tubificida; Naididae. The record is from RNAcentral.